This 40-nucleotide ribosomal RNA is filed under the name Phytophthora cinnamomi. RNAcentral describes it as "partial 18S ribosomal RNA". It matches the Rfam family "Eukaryotic small subunit ribosomal RNA", at positions 1792 to 1831 of the family's 1831-position model. The record is from RNAcentral. Lineage: Eukaryota; Oomycota; Peronosporomycetes; Peronosporales; Peronosporaceae. RNAcentral also lists the same sequence under 215 other names.
UAACAAGGUUUCCGUAGGUGAACCUGCGGAAGGAUCAUUA